Molecule: long non-coding RNA, 215 nt
Filed under: Mytilus galloprovincialis (Mediterranean mussel)
Lineage: Eukaryota; Metazoa; Mollusca; Bivalvia; Mytilida; Mytilidae
Source: RNAcentral
AAAAUUUCCUUAAAAUUACCAAUUCAGGGGCAGCAACCCAACAACGGGUUGUCUGAUUCAUCUGAAAAUUUCAGGGCAGAUAGAUCUUGACCUAAUAAACAAUAUUAUCCCAUGUCAGAUUUGCUCUAAAUGCUUUGGUUUUUGAGUUAUAAGCCAAAAACUGCAUUUGACCCCUAUGUUCUAUUUUUAGCAAUGGCGACCAUGUUUGUUGAUAG